GACUUCCUACGGGGGGCAGCAGUGGGGAAUAUUGCGCAAUGGGCGAAAGCCUGACGCAGCGACGCCGCGUGAGGGAUGAAGGUCUUCGGAUCGUAAACCUCUGUCAGCAGGGAAGAACGGUCACUGUGCUAAUCAGCAGUGAAUUGACGGUACCUGCAAAGGAAGCACCGGCUAACUCCGUGCCAGCAGCCGCGGUAAUACGGAGGGCGCGAGCGUUAAUCGGAAUUACUGGGCAUAAAGCGCUCGUAGGCGGUAUGUCAAGUCAAGGGUGAAAUCCCCGCGCCCAAAGUGGGAACUG
This 298-nucleotide ribosomal RNA is filed under the name uncultured bacterium. RNAcentral's name for it is "partial 16S ribosomal RNA". It matches the Rfam family "Bacterial small subunit ribosomal RNA", at positions 333 to 623 of the family's 1533-position model. The record is from RNAcentral.